This 1965-nucleotide ribosomal RNA is filed under the name human gut metagenome. RNAcentral's name for it is "bacterial LSU rRNA". It matches the Rfam family "Bacterial large subunit ribosomal RNA", at positions 1 to 1977 of the family's 2925-position model. The record is from RNAcentral.
GAAAGUAAAGAAGGGCGCAUGGCGGAUGCCUUGGCUCUCGGAGGCGAUGAAGGACGUGAUAAGCUGCGAUAAGCUUCGGGUAGGUGCAAAUAACCUUUGAUCCGAAGAUUUCCGAAUGGGACAACCCGACAUUCUGAAGGAAUGUCAUCCUGCUUGGCAGGAGGCUAACGCAGGGAACUGAAACAUCUUAGUACCUGCAGGAAAAGAAAAUAAACAAUGAUUCCCCCAGUAGUGGCGAGCGAACGGGGAACAGCCCAAACCAUCCAUGUUACGGCAUGGGUGGGGUUGUAGGACUACGCCGUUGCAUGAAGACAUCAGAGAAGAACUUUCUGGAAAGAAAGACCAUAGAGCAUGACAGUUGCGUAUUCGAAUGUUGUCGAAGCAUAGUAGUAUCCUGAGUAGCGCGGAGCACGAGGAAUUCUGCGUGAAUCUGCCGGGACCAUCCGGUAAGGCUAAAUACUCCCGAGAGACCGAUAGCGAACCAGUACCGUGAGGGAAAGGUGAAAAGCACUUCGAACAGAAGAGUGAAAUAGUUCCUGAAACCGUGCGCCUACAAGCGGUCGGAGCUCGUUAAUGAGUGACGGCGUGCCUUUUGCAUAAUGAACCUACGAGUUGCCUUUGCCGGCAAGGUUAAGUGUGACGACACACGUAUCCGAAGCGAAAGCGAGUCUGAAGAGGGCGUAUAGUCGGCAGUGGCAGACGCGAAACCAAGUGAUCUACCCUUGGCCAGGUUGAAGGCUGGGUAACACCAGCUGGAGGACCGCACCAAUAAGCGUUGAAAAGCUUCUGGAUGAGCUGAGGGUAGGGGUGAAAGGCUAAUCAAACUUGGAGAUAGCUCGUACUCCCCGAAAUGCAUUUAGGUGCAGCCUUGCGGGUUACUGAUGUGAGGUAGAGCGACUGAUAAGAUGCGAGGGCUUCACCGCCUAUCAAGUCUUGACAAACUCCGAAUGCGCAUCAGUUCUACCGCAGGAGUGAGGGCAUGGGUGCUAAGGUCCGUGCCCGAGAGGAGAAGAAUCCGGACCACCUGCUAAGGUCCCGAAAUGACAGCUAAGUUAAACUAACGAAGUCUGACUGCUAAGACAGCUAGGAUGUUGGCUUGGAAGCAGCCAUUCAUUUAAAGAGUGCGUAACAGCUCACUAGUCGAGGAGUCGGGCGUGGAUAAUAAUCGGGUAUGAAGUUGUCUACCGAAGCAGUGGGAUCAUUUAUAUGAUCGGUAGGGGAGCAUUCCAGUCGGCGUCGAAGGCGUACCGUGAGGUAUUCUGGAGCGUCUGGAAAAGCAAAUGUAGGUAUAAGUAACGAUAAAGGGGGCGGGAAACCCCCUCGCCGAAAGACUAAGGUUUCCUGAUCAACGCUAAUCGGAUCAGGGUCAGUCGGGUCCUAAGGCUCAGCCGAACGGCGAUGCCGAUGGCAGAAACGGUUAAUAUUCCGUUACUACCUUCAGGAGUGACGUGGAGACGCAGUAGUGACAGUGCCGCCAUCUGACGGAAUAGAUGGUUGAAGGGUGUAGGAGUCGAUCAUGGCAGGCAAAUCCACCAUGAGAUCCGAACCUGAUAGUAUGCCGCGUCCUUCGGGACAAGGCAAUAGUGCGCGUAAGCAUGCUGCCGAGAAAAUCCGCUAAACUUAAUCCUGCAGGUACCCGUACCGCAAACGGACACACGUAGUCGGGUUGAAUAUACUAAGGCGCUUGAGUGAUUCACGGUUAAGGAACUAGGCAAACUGACCCUGUAACUUCGGGAUAAAGGGUCCCUACCCUUUUAUGGGAGGGCGCAGAGAAUCGGUCCAGGCAACUGUUUAACAAAAACACAGGGCUGUGCAAAAUAGAAAUAUGAAGUAUACAGCCUGACACCUGCCCGGUGCUGGAAGGUUAAGAGGAGAUGUCAUCGCAAGAGAAGCGUUGAAUUGAAGCCCCAGUAAACGGCGGCCGUAACUAUAACGGUCCUAAGGUAGCGAAAUUCCUUGUCGGGU